Molecule: ribosomal RNA, 253 nt
Filed under: uncultured bacterium
Lineage: Bacteria
Description: partial 16S ribosomal RNA
Rfam family: Bacterial small subunit ribosomal RNA
Source: RNAcentral
UACGUAGGGAGCAAGCGUUGUCCGGAAUCAUUGGGCGUAAAGCGCGCGUAGGUGGCUUCGUAAGUCCGUUGUGAAAGUCAAAGGCUCAACCUUUGAAAGCCGAUGGAUACUGCGGAGCUAGAGUACGGAAGAGGCGAGUGGAAUUCCUGGUGUAGCGGUGGAAUGCGCAGAUAUCAGGAGGAACACCAGUGGCGAAAGCGGCUUCCUGGUCCGACACCGACGUUCAGGCACGAAAGCGUGGGGAGCAAACAGG